Molecule: ribosomal RNA, 306 nt
Filed under: uncultured Streptococcus sp.
Lineage: Bacteria; Bacillati; Bacillota; Bacilli; Lactobacillales; Streptococcaceae
Description: bacterial SSU rRNA
Rfam family: Bacterial small subunit ribosomal RNA
Source: RNAcentral
GUCGGUUAAGUCCCGCAACGAGCGCAACCCCUAUUGUUAGUUGCCAUCAUUCAGUUGGGCACUCUAGCGAGACUGCCGGUAAUAAACCGGAGGAAGGUGGGGAUGACGUCAAAUCAUCAUGCCCCUUAUGACCUGGGCUACACACGUGCUACAAUGGUUGGUACAACGAGUUGCGAGUCGGUGACGGCGAGCUAAUCUCUUAAAGCCAAUCUCAGUUCGGAUUGUAGGCUGCAACUCGCCUACAUGAAGUCGGAAUCGCUAGUAAUCGCGGAUCAGCACGCCGCGGUGAAUACGUUCCCGGGCCUU